CCUACGGGUGGCAGCAGUGGGGGAUAUUGCACAAUGGGGGAAACCCUGAUGCAGCGACGCCGCGUGAGUGAAGAAGUAUUUCGGUAUGUAAAGCUCUAUCAGCAGGGGAGAAAAUGACAGUACCUGACCAAGAAGCCCCGUGUAACUACGUGCCCGCAGCCGCGGUAAUACGUAGGGGGCAAGCGUUAUCCGGAUUUACUGGGGGUAAAGGGAGCGUAGGCGGGUAUGUAAGUCUGGAGUGAAAACCCGGGGCCCAACCCCGGGACUGCUUUUGAAACUGUGUAACUGGAGUACAGGAGGGGUAGGCGGAAUGCCGGGUGUAGCGGUGAAAUGCGUAGAUAUCAGGAGGAACACCGGCGGCGAAGGCGGCCUGCUGGACUGAAACUGACGUUGAGGCUCGAAAGCGUGGGGAGCAAACAGGAUUAGAUACCCCUGUAGUC
RNAcentral lists this ribosomal RNA (440 nucleotides) under uncultured bacterium. RNAcentral's name for it is "partial 16S ribosomal RNA". It matches the Rfam family "Bacterial small subunit ribosomal RNA", at positions 338 to 795 of the family's 1533-position model. The record is from RNAcentral.